UACGAAGGGUGCAAGCGUUACUCGGAAUUACUGGGCGUAAAGCGUGCGUAGGCGGUUUGUUAAGUCCGUUGUGAAAGCCCCGGGCUUAACCUGGGAACUGCGUUUGAUACGGAUGGGCUAGAGUUCGGGAGAGGAGCGUGGAAUUCCCAGUGUAGAGGUGAAAUUCGUAGAUAUUGGGAAGAACACCGGUGGCGAAGGCGGCGCUCUGGACCGAGACUGACGCUGAGGCGCGAAAGCGUGGGGAGCAAACAGG
This 253-nucleotide ribosomal RNA is filed under the name uncultured bacterium. Its description in RNAcentral is "partial 16S ribosomal RNA". It matches the Rfam family "Bacterial small subunit ribosomal RNA", at positions 524 to 776 of the family's 1533-position model. The record is from RNAcentral.